This 174-nucleotide ribosomal RNA is filed under the name Schistura sp. CBM:ZF:11538. Its description in RNAcentral is "partial 12S rRNA". Lineage: Eukaryota; Metazoa; Chordata; Actinopteri; Cypriniformes; Nemacheilidae. The record is from RNAcentral.
CACCGCGGUUAUACGAGAGGCUCCAGUUGAUGAACACGGCGUAAAGGGUGGUUAAGGAAAGUAAAUGUUUAAAGCCAAAGGGCCUCUUGGCCGUCAUACGCUCCUGAGUAUCCGAAGCCCAAUAAACGAAAGUAGCUUUAACCUAGCCCACCUGACUCCACGAAAACUGAGAAA